Molecule: ribosomal RNA, 119 nt
Filed under: Pteropus alecto (black flying fox)
Lineage: Eukaryota; Metazoa; Chordata; Mammalia; Chiroptera; Pteropodidae
Source: RNAcentral
GUCUACGGCCAUGCUACCCUGAACGUGCCCGAUCCUGUCCGAUCUUGGAAACUAAGCAGAGUUGGGCUUGGUUAGUAAUUGGAUGGGAGACCACCUAGGAAGACCAGGUGCUGUAGGCG